GACGAACGCUGGCGGCGUGCUUAACACAUGCAAGUCGAACGGAAAGGCCCUGCUUUUGUGGGGUGCUCGAGUGGCGAACGGGUGUGUAACACGUGAGUAACCUGCCCUUGACUUUGGGAUAACUUCAGGAAACAGGGGCUAAUACCGGAUAGGAGCUCCUGCUGCAUGGUGGGCGUUGGAAAGUGUCGGCGGUUGUGGAUGGACUCGCGGCUUAUCAGCUUGUUGGUGGGGUAGUGGCUUACCAAGCCUAUGACGGGUAGCCGGCCUGAGAGGGUGACCGGCGACAUUGGGACUAAGAUACGGCCCAGACUGCUACGGGACGCAGCAGUGGGGAAUAUUGCGCAAUGGGCGGACGCCUGAUGCAGCAACGCCGGGUGCGGGAUGACGGCUUUCGGGUUGUAAACAGCUUUCGACUGUGACGAAGCGUGAGUGACGGUAAUGGGUAAGAAAGCACCGGCUAACUACGUG
Molecule: ribosomal RNA, 468 nt
Filed under: uncultured bacterium
Lineage: Bacteria
Description: partial 16S ribosomal RNA
Rfam family: Bacterial small subunit ribosomal RNA
Source: RNAcentral